AUUGAACGCUGGCGGCGGGCCUAACACAUGCAAGUCGAGCGGCUGAAGGGUGCUUGCUUCUGGAUUCAGCGGCGGACGGGUGAGUAAUGCCUAGGAAUCUGCCUGGUAGCGGGGGAUAACGUCCGGAAACGGGCGCUCAUACCGCAUACGCCCUGAGGGAGAAAGUGGGGGAUCUUCGGACCUCACGCCAUCAGAUGAGCCUAGGUCGGAUUAGCUAGUUGGUGGGGUAAAGGCCUACCAAGGCGACGAUCCGUAACUGGUCUGAGAGGAUGAUCAGUCACACUGGAACUGAGACACGGUCCAGACUCCUACGGGAGGCAGCAGUGGGGAAUAUUGGACAAUGGGCGAAAGCCUGAUCCAGCCAUGCCGCGUGUGUGAAGAAGGUCUUCGGAUUGUAAAGCGCUUUAAGUUGGGAGGAAGAGCAGUAAGUUAAUACCUUGCUGUUUUGACGUUACCAACAGAAUAAGCACCGGCUAACUUCGUG
RNAcentral lists this ribosomal RNA (484 nucleotides) under uncultured bacterium. RNAcentral's name for it is "partial 16S ribosomal RNA". It matches the Rfam family "Bacterial small subunit ribosomal RNA", at positions 30 to 507 of the family's 1533-position model. The record is from RNAcentral.